RNAcentral lists this ribosomal RNA (501 nucleotides) under uncultured bacterium. RNAcentral's name for it is "partial 16S ribosomal RNA". It matches the Rfam family "Bacterial small subunit ribosomal RNA", at positions 29 to 523 of the family's 1533-position model. The record is from RNAcentral.
AUUGAACGCUGGCGGCAUGCCUUACACAUGCAAGUCGAACGGCAGCACGGGUGCUUGCACCUGGUGGCGAGUGGCGAGCGGGUGAGUAAUACAUCGGAACGUACCUUAUCGUGGGGGAUAACGCAGCGAAAGCUGUGCUAAUACCGCAUACGCCCUGAGGGGGAAAGCGGGGGAUCGCAAGACCUCGCGCGAUUAGAGCGGCCGAUGCCUGAUUAGCUUGUUGGUGGGGUAAAAGCCCACCAAGGCGACGAUCAGUAGCUGGUCUGAGAGGACGAUCAGCCACACUGGGACUGAGACACGGCCCAGACUCCUACGGAAGGCAGCAGUGGGGAAUUUUGGACAAUGGGGGCAACCCUGAUCCAGCAAUGCCGCGUGAGUGAAGAAGGCCUUCGGGUUGUAAAGCUCUUUUGUCAGGGAAGAAACACCGGCUCUAACACAGUCCGGGAAUGACGGUACCUGAAGGAUAAGCACCGGCUAACUACGUGCCAGCCGCCGCCGUAA